RNAcentral lists this ribosomal RNA (253 nucleotides) under uncultured bacterium. Its description in RNAcentral is "partial 16S ribosomal RNA". It matches the Rfam family "Bacterial small subunit ribosomal RNA", at positions 524 to 776 of the family's 1533-position model. The record is from RNAcentral.
UACGUAGGGGGCAAGCGUUGUCCGGAAUCAUUGGGCGUAAAGAGCGUGUAGGCGGCCAUGCAGGUCCGUUGUGAAAACUCGAGGCUCAACCUCGAGACGCCGAUGGAAACCGCAUGGCUAGAGUCCGGAAGAGGAGAGUGGAAUUCCUGGUGUAGCGGUGAAAUGCGCAGAUAUCAGGAAGAACACCCGUGGCUAAGGCGGCUCUCUAGUACGGUACUGACGCUGAGGCGCGAAAGCCGGGGGAGCAAACAGG